Galleria mellonella (greater wax moth) is the source of this 302-nucleotide long non-coding RNA. RefSeq lists it as uncharacterized. The transcript has 2 exons. NCBI's taxonomy places the organism in Eukaryota, Metazoa, Arthropoda, Insecta, Lepidoptera, Pyralidae. The record is from RefSeq and is a predicted model, not a curated record.
AUCGAAUGCGGUUUCGAGUAAUUGCUUCAACUUGGUAAAUUACAAACGUGUGAGUGAGUGAAUGUCUCUCGAAGUCAUUGGUGAGUAUUACAGAAGGAAGGAGGGGAAGAGGGAGAUCGAGACAUAGUUACAUCAGGCAGAUCAAGGAAGGAGUUGGUGUCGUGUCGUAUCAAGAGGUGAAGAGACUCGAUGAAAAUCGUAGUGAGUGGCAAGAGCUCCACCGACAAGAGCGCAGCUCUUAAAUGGAUAGAUAGAUAGAUAUACAGUAUUGUGGAGAAUGAAUAAAUAUUUUUGAAUUUGAA